This is a long non-coding RNA of Lathyrus oleraceus (garden pea), 664 nucleotides long. RefSeq lists it as uncharacterized. NCBI's taxonomy places the organism in Eukaryota, Viridiplantae, Streptophyta, Magnoliopsida, Fabales, Fabaceae. The transcript is spliced from 3 exons. The record is from RefSeq and is a predicted model, not a curated record.
CUAAUGAACAGAAGGAGAAGCCUACUCAAUCUGCAAAAUCUCUUUCUAAUUGGUCUGGUGGUUCUCAGUAUUCGCCAGUAGAAAGGUUUGUUCAUAAUGCGAAAUGUAUGUCCUUAAGUCAGUUCUGCAAAAUCAAACAUGUAAGUUGAAUACUAUAGAGCCGAAUUUAUCUUUACUAUUACAAUUAUAUUGUUUGCUUUUUGAAAUUAAUAUCAUUUUUUAUUUGCUUUUAGGAAACUUUAUGUGUUACUGUAGCAACCACAUUGAAAUUUGCUGUCUCAAAGUAUGGAUGGUUUUAUUAUGGCUGCACAAGGUGUUCUUCGAAGGCACCUAAUCCUGAAAAAGCUUAUGAAUGUUCAUGUGGGCAAAAAGUCGAACAGCCUAUACCAAGGUACAAGAUUGAGAUAUAUGUUAGCAAUGGUGAAUCAAAAUAUCGAUUUGUAUUCUGGGAUUCCGAAUGUGCUGCUAUACUUGGAAUGACUGCUGAAUUUAUGCAUAACUCUAUGGUGGAGAAUGGAGAAGAUGAUCCAAUGGUUUAUCCUGAUGAGCUUGAAAUGCUGUUGAAUAAGAAAAUGACUUUUAGAGUUAAGGUGCAGCCAACGUUUUCCCAAGCGUCUGUUUGGAAGCUUUGUGAUGAUGAAGCCUUUGUUAAAGAGAUUGAAAA